This 633-nucleotide ribosomal RNA is filed under the name Actinomyces sp. V17 2011441. RNAcentral's name for it is "bacterial SSU rRNA". It matches the Rfam family "Bacterial small subunit ribosomal RNA", at positions 88 to 715 of the family's 1533-position model. The record is from RNAcentral. Lineage: Bacteria; Bacillati; Actinomycetota; Actinomycetes; Actinomycetales; Actinomycetaceae.
UGGAUGAGUGGCGAACGGGUGAGUAACACGUGAGUAACCUGCCCCCUUCUUCUGGAUAACCGCAUGAAAGUGUGGCUAAUACGGGAUAUUCUGCGCCUGCUGCAUGGUGGGUGUGGGAAAGAUAUUGUUUCGGUGGGGGAUGGGCUCGCGGCCUAUCAGCUUGUUGGUGGGGUGAUGGCCUACCAAGGCGGUGACGGGUAGCCGGCCUGAGAGGGUGGACGGUCACACUGGGACUGAGACACGGCCCAGACUCCUACGGGAGGCAGCAGUGGGGAAUAUUGCACAAUGGGCGCAAGCCUGAUGCAGCGACGCCGCGUGAGGGAUGGAGGCCUUCGGGUUGUAAACCUCUUUCGCCAGUGAAGCAGGCCUGUCCCUUGUGGGUGGGUUGACGGUAGCUGGAUAAGAAGCGCCGGCUAACUACGUGCCAGCAGCCGCGGUAAUACGUAGGGCGCGAGCGUUGUCCGGAAUUAUUGGGCGUAAAGAGCUCGUAGGCGGCUGGUCGCGUCUGUCGUGAAAUCCUCUGGCUUAACUGGGGGCUUGCGGUGGGUACGGGCCGGCUUGAGUGCGGUAGGGGAGACUGGAACUCCUGGUGUAGCGGUGGAAUGCCGCAGAUAUCAGGAAGAACACCGGUGG